GUGAGGAAUAUUGCGCAAUGGAGGCAACUCUGACGCAGCCAUGCCGCGUGCAGGAAGAAGGCGCUACGCGUUGUAAACUGCUUUUAACCGGGAAGAAACCCCAGGACGUGUCCUGGGUUGACGGUACCGGAGGAAUAAGCACCGGCUAACUUCGUGCCAGCAGCCGCGGUAAUACGAAGGGUGCAAGCGUUAUCCGGAUUCAUUGGGUUUAAAGGGUGCGUAGGCGGAGCGUUAAGUCAGUGGUGAAAUCCUGCAGCUUAACUGUAGACUUGCCAUGGAUACUGGCGCUCUUGAGUGCGCUUGAAGUGGGCGGAAUGUGCCGUGUAGCGGUGAAAUGCUUAGAUAUGGCACAGAACACCAAUUGCGAAGGCAGCUCACUAAGGCGAUACUGACGCUGAGGCACGAAAGCGUGGGGAUCGAACAGGAUUAGAAACCCCUGUAGUCC
Molecule: ribosomal RNA, 445 nt
Filed under: uncultured bacterium
Lineage: Bacteria
Description: bacterial SSU rRNA
Rfam family: Bacterial small subunit ribosomal RNA
Source: RNAcentral